Molecule: transfer RNA, 103 nt
Filed under: Coniochaeta ligniaria NRRL 30616
Lineage: Eukaryota; Fungi; Ascomycota; Sordariomycetes; Coniochaetales; Coniochaetaceae
Description: tRNA-Pro
Rfam family: tRNA
About the family: Transfer RNA (tRNA) molecules are approximately 80 nucleotides in length.
Source: RNAcentral
GGCUGGAUCGUCAAGUGGUAUGAUGCUUCCUUCGGGAUUGCUCCCGGUCGUUAGCACUCGACUCUUAUGGAAGAGGUCCCGGGUUCGAAUCCCGGUUCGGCCC